GGACUACACGGGUUUCUAAUCCCGUUUGCUCCCCUGGCUUUCGCGCCUCAGCGUCAGUAGUGGUCCAGCACGUCGCUUUCGCCACCGGCGUUCCUUCCGAUAUCAACGCAUUUCACCGCUCCACCGGAAGUUCCACAUGCCCCUACCACCCUCGAGACCGCCAGUAUCCAAGGCUAUUUUCCGGUUAAGCCGAAAGAUUUCACCUCAGACUUGGCAGCCCGCCUACGCGCCCUUUAAGCCCAGUGAUUCCGAACAACGUUAGGACGGUUCGUCUUACCGCGGCUGCUGGCAC
Molecule: ribosomal RNA, 292 nt
Filed under: uncultured bacterium
Lineage: Bacteria
Also listed under: 2 other names
Description: partial 16S ribosomal RNA
Source: RNAcentral